This 295-nucleotide ribosomal RNA is filed under the name uncultured bacterium. RNAcentral's name for it is "partial 16S ribosomal RNA". It matches the Rfam family "Bacterial small subunit ribosomal RNA", at positions 335 to 626 of the family's 1533-position model. The record is from RNAcentral.
UUGCCUACGGGGGGCAGCAGUGAGGAAUAUUGGUCAAUGGGCGCAAGCCUGAACCAGCCAAGUCGCGUGAGGGAUGACGGUCCUAUGAAUUGUAAACCUCUUUUGUCGGGGAGCAAGGCCCGCCACGUGUGGCGGGAAGGAGAGUACCCGAAGAAAAAGCAUCGGCUAACUCCGUGCCAGCAGCCGCGGUAAUACGGAGGAUGCGGGCGUUAUCCGGAUUUAUUGGGUGUAAAGGGUGCGUAGACGGGAAAUUACGUUAGUUGUGAAAGCCAUCGGCUUAACUGAGGAACUGCAA